CAAACUGGGAUUAGAUACCCCACUAUGCCUGGCCCUAAAUCUAGACACCCGCACACCCGAGUGUCCGCCUGAGAACUACGAGCACAAACGCUUAAAACUCUAAGGACUUGGCGGUGCCCUAAACCCACCUAGAGGAGCCUGUUCU
RNAcentral lists this ribosomal RNA (145 nucleotides) under Perdix perdix (grey partridge). Its description in RNAcentral is "partial 12S ribosomal RNA". The record is from RNAcentral. Lineage: Eukaryota; Metazoa; Chordata; Aves; Galliformes; Phasianidae.